RNAcentral lists this long non-coding RNA (1479 nucleotides) under Sorghum bicolor (sorghum). RNAcentral describes it as "long non-coding RNA (SBIC_LNC016757)". Lineage: Eukaryota; Viridiplantae; Streptophyta; Magnoliopsida; Poales; Poaceae. The record is from RNAcentral.
CUUGUAUUCAAAAGAUUUUCAUUUGAGGUCAUUUAGUGCCUUGUUUGACCAGGUUUGACCAAGUCACGCCUUGGAUUUUUGAAAAAUGUGACUAGAGUUUACUAGAACUUUUCUAAAUGCAAAAUUGUACUAUGUAUCAAAGGUAGACCUUGGUGAGGUCUAACUUCUUUGUAUUCAAAAGUUUUUUAUUUGAGGUAUUUUAUUGGCUAGUUUGACCAAGUCAAACAUUGGAUUUUUCAGAAAAAAAUACUUUGACCGGACCCUAGAUGGUCCCAGCUACAAAAGUCAUGAAUAAACAAAAAAUACAUAUUGAAAAACCUACAUGGGGCUCUAACUGAUGCCUGCGAAUGUGGUCAGGAGACUGAGAUGCCAAGUUUUGGAUCUCUUUUUGCCAGCAUCCAAACUCCAGAAUACAAAAAGUGUCGAACACUCCCCUCUAGCAGAAAAGGGAUUGGUCUUCAGUGGCUAGCGCGAGAUGAAAUGGUCGCAGGUCCCAGGUUCAAACCCUGUGGCUGCCGACAUUUUUGUGUUUUUUUUUUGAUUUUUUUAUCCAAUCCUAUAUGGGGCUAUAACUAUGGUGUUUUUUUUUGAAUUUUUUUCAUCCAAUCCUACAUGGGGCUCUAACUAGGGCAUACGGUAGUGUGCACCAACGACUAAAGAGGAUAACAUAAUAUUUUAAAAAUAACUAUAAUAGAUUUAUAUUUAUAAUGAUCAAUAAUUGUUACAAUCUAUCAUCACAAAUACUAAUAUUUUGGUGUUUUCUUUUGAAAUUUUCUUCCUCCAAUCCUACGUGGGACUAGGAGUUAACUAGGACGGAGAUAAUUUACCUAGGACAUAUGAUAGUGUGCACCAAUGACCAUGUGGGAUAACAAGAUAUUUUAAAAAUAAUUGUAAUAGAUUUAUAUUUUAUGACAACUAACUAUUGUCACAAUCUAUCGUCAUAAAUCCCAUGCAGCUAGAUGCUAUGACGUUGUUUAUGACGAAGACAUAGUUUGGUCAUAAACUUUUGUCAUCCACUAAACAGUCGUCAUAAACAGCCUGCAUUUAUGACAGAUAGGUGUUCUGUCAUCUGGUAAUCGUCAUAGAAGCCCAGAUUUCUUAUAGUGUGUGCCCACUUUACUUUUCUGAAAAGUAUAGACCUCAAAAAAGCAAGCAUAUUCACCGCAAGGUGAAGUGUGACCACUUAGUCCCCGAGCCUGGUAGUAGGUGACGUAGGCACAUGGUGCCAGGGUCAAAAAAGUUUUCAUAGAAAUUUCAAAAUUGUGAUGCAUCGCCAGAUGCAUCGUACUGAUGUAGUCCCCGAGCUUGCUGGAAGGCGAAGUAUGAGCCUUGUAGCAAGGUCUAAAAAUUGAAUUACCUAGUCCAAUUCAUAUGUAACUAAGAAAAGCAGUCCCCAAGCUACGGUCGGAGAGUGAUCGAAGCAAGUCCCGAGCACAGCGCAUGGAGUGAUUGAUGAGUCUUCGAGCACGAUCGGUAGUC